AGGCAUGAUAGUACACACUUGUAAUCCUAGCUGAGCGGAUUGAGGCUAGCAGAUCUCUUGAGCUCAGGAUUUCUGAAUUUCAGUGGGCUAUGCCAAUUGAGUAUCCAUACUAAGUUUUGGCAUCAAUUUGAUGAGCUCCUGGGAGCUGGGGGCCACCAGGUUGCUUGAAGGAGGGGUGAACUGAUUUGGUAGGGUCAGAGCUCCUGUGCCAAUCAGUAGUGGGAUUGGGUCCAUGAGUAGCACCCUCUAUUUCCAGUCUAGGCAGAUGAGGGGACUCUUUUUUUA
This 285-nucleotide signal recognition particle RNA is filed under the name Phascolarctos cinereus (koala). RNAcentral describes it as "Metazoan signal recognition particle RNA (ENSPCIG00000022096.2)". It matches the Rfam family "Metazoan signal recognition particle RNA". Rfam says of the family: The signal recognition particle (SRP) is a universally conserved ribonucleoprotein. The record is from RNAcentral. Lineage: Eukaryota; Metazoa; Chordata; Mammalia; Diprotodontia; Phascolarctidae.